GAUCCUGGCUCAGGAUGAACGCUAGCUACAGGCUUAGCACAUGCAAGUCGAGGGGCAGCAUGACGGAAGCUUGCUUUCGUUGAUGGCGACCGGCGCACGGGUGAGUAACGCGUAUCCAACCUGCCCUUGUCCAUCGGAUAACCCGUCGAAAGGCGGACUAACACGAUAUGCAGUUCUCAGCAGGCAUCUAACGAGAACGAAAUGUGAAGGAGAAGGAUGGGGAGUGCGU
Molecule: ribosomal RNA, 229 nt
Filed under: uncultured bacterium
Lineage: Bacteria
Description: partial 16S ribosomal RNA
Rfam family: Bacterial small subunit ribosomal RNA
Source: RNAcentral